CCUGCGGAAGGAUCAUUACCGAGUGAGGGCCCUCUGGGUCCAACCUCCCACCCGUGUCUAUCGUACCUUGUUGCUUCGGCGGGGCCGUCGUUUCGACGGGCGGCGGGGAGGUCUUGCGCCCCCGGGCCCGCGCCCGCCUAAGAGCGCAUCAUGAAGCGCUGUUCUGAACGUAUGCAGUCUGAGUUGAUUAUCGUAAUCUGUUGAAACUUUCAACAACGGAUCUCUUGGUUCCGGGAUCGAUGAAGAGCGCAUUGAAAUGCGAUAAGUAAUGUGAAUUGUUUAAUUCAGUGAAUCAUCGAGUCUUUGAACGGACAUUGAUGCCCCGUGGUAUUCCGGUGGGGCAUGCCUGUCCGAGCGUGAUUGCUGCCCUCAAGCACGGCUUGUGUGUUGGGCCCCCGUCCCCCUCUCCCGGGGGACGGGCCCGAAAGGCAGCGGCGGCACCGCGUCCGGUCCUCGAGCGUAUGGGGCUUUGUCACCUGCUCUGUAGGCCCGGCCGGCGCCAGCCGACACCCAACUUUAUUUUUCUAAGGUUGACCUCGGAUCAGGUAGGGAUACCCGCUGAACUUAAGCAUAUCA
RNAcentral lists this ribosomal RNA (576 nucleotides) under Aspergillus fumigatus. RNAcentral's name for it is "eukaryotic LSU rRNA". The stretch from base 205 to 360 matches the Rfam family "5.8S ribosomal RNA". Lineage: Eukaryota; Fungi; Ascomycota; Eurotiomycetes; Eurotiales; Aspergillaceae. The record is from RNAcentral.